Molecule: small RNA, 675 nt
Filed under: Pan troglodytes (chimpanzee)
Lineage: Eukaryota; Metazoa; Chordata; Mammalia; Primates; Hominidae
Description: retained intron
Source: RNAcentral
UAAACGUGGCCGGGUCUGCAAGCUAGGUGCCAGCGGGGAAAGUUUCCCUGCUUCUUAUCGUCUGCUUUAACGCCUUAAAUAGCCCGCUGAAGGCUGCAGCAGGUGCUAGGUAGCAUCCUCCCGGCCCUCGGGAAAGGCGGGGUGGGGAGGCGAGAGCAGCUUAGCCUUCUCGACCUCCCUUCCUGGUGACGGACGAACAGUUCCUGUAGAAUUUCGCUUCACCGAGUGACCUUGAGCCCAGGGCGACGGUCAACUUGUUAGUUCCUGGCUGCAGGAACUUUGUGAGAAUUUUAAUGCAUGGAAAAGCUGUCCAUGUUCCAACUGCUGUACAUCCAAAAGUCUCAGUGUAAUAGCAGGACCAAAAUAUUCUGUCAAUCAGCUGACCAUAUACUUAAUGACUCCUAAAAUCUCGUGGACUUCUAAGAAAGCGCCAUGGCCUGUGCUGCUGUUAUGAUUCCUGGGUUGUUGCGGUGCUCUGUUGGAGCCAUCCGUAUUGAGGCUGCUUCACUGAGAUUGACACUCAGCACUUUGCGCCACCUUACUCUAACCAGGUGAGUCAUUAAGACUUCUAUGUCAUUUGAAGUUAAUUUUCAAAGAGACCCGACCUGCUGACGGUUGUGGGAGGCAUAUCAAACUCCCGGAAAGGUAACACCUUAGCUUCAAUGUGCAUGCUGU